UUGAUCCUGGCUCAGAAUCAACGCUGGCGGCGUGCCUAACACAUGCAAGUCGAACGAGAAAGUGGAGCAAUCCAUGAGUAAAGUGGCGACCGGGUGAGUUACACGUGACUAACCUACCUUCGAGUGGGGGAUAACCUCGGGAAACCGGGUCUAAUACCGCAUAAAAUCUUUGGGAUGAGAAGCCGAAGAUCAAAGGGGCUAUUCGCUUGAAGAGGGGGUCGCGGCUGAUUAGCUAGUUGGUGGGGUAACUGCCCACCAAGGCUUUGAUCGGUAGCCGGCCUGAGAGGGCGCACGGCCACUCUGGAACUGAAACACGGUCCAGACUCCUACGGGAGGCAGCAGUGGGGAAUUUUGCGCAAUGGGGGAAACCCUGACGCAGCAACGCCGCGUGGAGGAUGAUGUCCCUUGGGACGUAAACUCCUUUCGACCGGGACGAUAAUGACGGUACCUGUGGAAGAAGCCCCGGCUAACUUCGUGCCAGCAGCCGCGGUAAUAAGGU
RNAcentral lists this ribosomal RNA (499 nucleotides) under uncultured Acidobacteriota bacterium. Its description in RNAcentral is "bacterial SSU rRNA". It matches the Rfam family "Bacterial small subunit ribosomal RNA", at positions 13 to 529 of the family's 1533-position model. Lineage: Bacteria; Pseudomonadati; Acidobacteriota. The record is from RNAcentral.